This 230-nucleotide unclassified non-coding RNA is filed under the name uncultured fungus. RNAcentral describes it as "sequence contains ITS1, 5.8S rRNA gene". The stretch from base 182 to 230 matches the Rfam family "5.8S ribosomal RNA", at positions 1 to 49 of the family's 154-position model. Lineage: Eukaryota; Fungi. The record is from RNAcentral.
UCUCCGUAGGUGAACCUGCGGAGGGAUCAUUACUGAGUGAGGGUUUAACCGCCCGACCUCCAACCCUUUGUGAACACAACUUGUUGCUUCGGGGGCGACCCUGCCGCUUCGGCGGUGCGGCGCCCCCGGAGGCCAUUAAACACUGCAUUCUCUGCGUCGGAGUAUUAGUAAAUCUAAUCAAAACUUUCAACAACGGAUCUCUUGGUUCUGGCAUCGAUGAAGAACGCAGC